RNAcentral lists this ribosomal RNA (1413 nucleotides) under Psiloglonium araucanum. Its description in RNAcentral is "partial 18S small subunit ribosomal RNA". It matches the Rfam family "Eukaryotic small subunit ribosomal RNA", at positions 79 to 1107 of the family's 1831-position model. The record is from RNAcentral. Lineage: Eukaryota; Fungi; Ascomycota; Dothideomycetes; Hysteriales; Hysteriaceae.
CCGUGAAACUGCGAAUGGCUCAUUAAAUCAGUUAUCGUUUAUUUGAUAGUACCUUACUACUUGGAUAACCGUGGUAAUUCUAGAGCUAAUACAUGCUAAAAACCCCGACUUCGGGAGGGGUGUAUUUAUUAGAUAAAAAACCAACGCCCUUCGGGGCUCCCUGGUGAUUCAUAAUAACUUAACGGAUCGCAUGGCCUUGCGCCGGCGACGGUUCAUUCAAAUUUCUGCCCUAUCAACUUUCGAUUGUAGGGUAUUGGCCUACAAUGGUUUCAACGGGUAACGGGGAAUUAGGGUUCGAUUCCGGAGAGGGAGCCUGAGAAACGGCUACCACAUCCAAGGAAGGCAGCAGGCGCGCAAAUUACCCAAUCCCGACGCGGGGAGGUAGUGACAAUAAAUACUGAUACAGGGCUCUUUUGGGUCUUGUAAUUGGAAUGAGUACAAUUUAAACCCCUUAACGAGGAACAAUUGGAGGGCAAGUCUGGUGGAACUCACGUUCUCGUAACGCUGACGCCAGCAAAAGUAGGGUCUCUCCUGGAGCUCCCUGCUAGUCGAGCACCUGUCAAUGGUAGGAAGGUGCCGGCAAGGUAACCUGGUACGGGGGACGUCUCCUGCAUUACUGUAGCAGCCAAUCCCGUGGUGGUUCUUCCCUCGAAUUAGGAGGUAGACUCAUCGUAACGCGCGCAAAGGUACCGGCUAGCUUGCUAGCUCGAGGGACGCGCUUAUUCCCAUGCGUAAGCAUGCCUCAAACUGGAAGCACCUACCAUGCAAAGGUUUGGGGAGUACUGUUAGUCACAGUGCAGGAUCAGUUGAUGCAUCACGUACAAGCAGGCGGUCCACCUUCCGCGCUCGAGUACAAAAUGUGCCAGCUAUGUAAAGGCCAGCAGCCGCGGUAAUUCCAGCUCCAAUAGCGUAUAUUAAAGUUGUUGCAGUUAAAAAGCUCGUAGUUGAACCUUGGGCCUGGCUGGCCGGUCCGCCUCACCGCGUGCACUGGUCCGGCCGGGCCUUUCCUUCUGGAGAGCCGCAUGCCCUUCACUGGGCGUGUCGGGGAACCAGGACUUUUACUUUGAAAAAAUUAGAGUGUUCAAAGCAGGCCUUUGCUCGAAUACGUUAGCAUGGAAUAAUAGAAUAGGACGUGCGGUCCUAUUUUGUUGGUUUCUAGGACCGCCGUAAUGAUUAAUAGGGAUAGUCGGGGGCAUCAGUAUUCAAUUGUCAGAGGUGAAAUUCUUGGAUUUAUUGAAGACUAACUACUGCGAAAGCAUUUGCCAAGGAUGUUUUCAUUAAUCAGUGAACGAAAGUUAGGGGAUCGAAGACGAUCAGAUACCGUCGUAGUCUUAACCGUAAACUAUGCCGACUAGGGAUCGGGCGAUGUUAUUAUUUUGACUCGCUCGGCACCUUACGAGAAAUCAAAGUUUU